GGGCCAAUACUAAAACCUCAGUUCAUCUUGAAGAGAGACAUGAAAAUCAUGCUGAAUAGGAUUACACUGAGGCUA
Molecule: small nucleolar RNA, 75 nt
Filed under: Procavia capensis (Cape rock hyrax)
Lineage: Eukaryota; Metazoa; Chordata; Mammalia; Hyracoidea; Procaviidae
Description: Small nucleolar RNA SNORD115 (ENSPCAG00000019172.1)
Rfam family: Small nucleolar RNA SNORD115
About the family: HBII-52 is a member of the C/D class of snoRNAs, which contain the C (UGAUGA) and D (CUGA) box motifs. HBII-52 is encoded in a tandemly repeated array with another C/D snoRNA, HBII-85, in the Prader-Willi syndrome (PWS) region of chromosome 15.
Source: RNAcentral